Molecule: long non-coding RNA, 776 nt
Organism: Suricata suricatta (meerkat)
Lineage: Eukaryota; Metazoa; Chordata; Mammalia; Carnivora; Herpestidae
Exons: 3
Source: RefSeq, a predicted model, not a curated record
CUAUAUUCUGAUCCUCAUAACUUUCCUGUGAAGCAGAGAUGAACCAUAUGAAGAUUUAAGAAUGAGGAUAAAAAUGUUUGUGAAAAUCCAGACUUAUACACUUCCUAAGAAAAAUCUGGAGAAGACUCUGGUGCCCGCUAAGCAUGGAAAUUUUCACCAUAUGGAAAAGAAAUAGUAAAACCCAUCACUGAAAUGAUAGAUUCCUUGAAAACAUCCUUGCAAAUCGAAGUAAUCUGGUUCAGCUCAAAUUGCAUCAAGGGAUGAGAAAAGAAUGAGUGACUUAACCUGCUCACUGAACUAAUCCACUAGAGGCUCAUGCAUUUUCCUUCACACAUUCCACACAAAUGUACACAUAUUUCUCAAAAUUUUCAAAGUCCUUGUUCCAUUGUAAUUCUGCAAACAAAACAAAAAACAAAACACCAACUUCAUAGAAGGGUGACAUGUUUUACCCUUUUGGCUAUAAUUUCACUUUCUAUCUGGGGAAGUUUUCAAGCAAUGAACUUAUAUUAUCAGUUAUAUGAAUAAGGAAUUUGAGAAGAGCUUUUCCUUUCUGGAACAGAAAUGAGGCUCUCUAGCAACCUUUUCUGUGUGUGUUUGUGUGUGUGUAAUGUGUGUGUACACAUGUAUGCAUAUGUGUGUGCCAAUGUGUUGUUUUGAGGGAUGAGGGAAAUCAACCUUAUGAUCUCUCAUACUGAAGGUAGGCUUUAGUGGACUGUGUCCUCUCCCCUUAAUUAUCCUGCAGUCUUCAAGGAGGUUUCUUGAGAUAAAAAUAGGUG